UAACUUCGGGAAACCGAAGCUAAUACCGGAUAAUAAAGAGAAACUCCUGUUUCUUUUUUGAAAGUCGGUUUCGGCUGACGCUUACAGAUGGGCCCGCGGCGCAUUAGCUAGUUGGUGAGGUAACGGCUCACCAAGGCCACGAUGCGUAGCCGACCUGAGAGGGUGAUCGGCCACACUGGGACUGAGACACGGCCCAGACUCCUACGGGAGGCAGCAGUAGGGAAUCUUCGGCAAUGGACGAAAGUCUGACCGAGCAACGCCGCGUGAGCGAUGAAGGCCUUCGGGUCGUAAAGCUCUGUUGUCAGAGAAGAACAAGUACCGGAGUAACUGCCGGUACCUUGACGGUACCUGACCAGAAAGCCACGGCUAACUACGUGCCAGCAGCCGCGGUAAUACGUAGGUGGCAAGCGUUAUCCGGAAUUAUUGGGCGUAAAGCGCGCGCAGGCGGUUCCUUAAGUCUGAUGUGAAAGCCCACGGCUCAACCGUGGAGGGUCAUUGGAAACUGGGGAACUUGAGUGCAGGAGAGAAAAGUGGAAUUCCACGUGUAGCCGGUGAAAUGCGUAAAGAUGUGGAGGAACACCAGUGGCGAAGGCGGCUUUUUGGCCUGUAACUGACGCUGAGGCGCGAAAGCGUGGGGAGCAAACAGGAUUAGAUACCCUGGUAGUCCACGCCGUAAACGAUGAGUGCUAGGUGUUGGGGGGUUCCACCCUCAGUGCUGACGUUAACACAUUAAGCACUCCGCCUGGGGAGUACGGCCGCAAGGCUGAAACUCAAAGGAAUUGACGGGGGCCCGCACAAGCAGUGGAGCAUGUGGUUUAAUUCGAAGCAACGCGAAGAACCUUACCAGGUCUUGACAUCCUCUGACCACUCUAGAGAUAGAGCUUUCCCCUUCGGGGGACAGAGUGACAGGUGGUGCAUGGUUGUCGUCAGCUCGUGUCGUGAGAUGUUGGGUUAAGUCCCGCAACGAGCGCAACCCUUGACCUUAGUUGCCAGCAUUCAGUUGGGCACUCUAAGGUGACUGCCGGUGACAAACCGGAGGAAGGUGGGGAUGACGUCAAAUCAUCAUGCCCCUUAUGACCUGGGCUACACACGUGCUACAAUGGGUGGUACAAAGGGUUGCAAAGCCGCGAGGCCGAGCCAAUCCCAAAAAGCCACUCUCA
Molecule: ribosomal RNA, 1160 nt
Filed under: Fictibacillus sp.
Lineage: Bacteria; Bacillati; Bacillota; Bacilli; Caryophanales; Fictibacillaceae
Description: bacterial SSU rRNA
Rfam family: Bacterial small subunit ribosomal RNA
Source: RNAcentral